AUUGAACGCUGGCGGCAGGCCUAACACAUGCAAGUCGAACGGUAGCACAGAGAGCUUGCUCUCGGGUGACGAGUGGCGGACGGGUGAGUAAUGUCUGAGAAACUGCCCGAUGGAGGGGGAUAACUACUGGAAACGGUAGCUAAUACCGCAUAACGUCGCAAGACCAAAGUGGGGGACCUUCGGGCCUCACACCAUCGGAGGUGCCCAGAUGGGAUUAGCUAGUAGGUGGGGUAAUGGCUCACCUAGGCGACGAUCCCUAGCUGGUCUGAGAGGAUGACCAGCCACACAGGAACUGAGACACGGUCCAGACUCCUACGGGAGGCAGCAGUGGGGAAUAUUGCACAAUGGGCGCAAGCCUGAUGCAGCCAUGCCGCGUGUAUGAAGAAGGCCUUCGGGUUGUAAAGUACUUUCAGCGGGGAGGAAGGCGGUGAAGUUAAUAGCUUCACCGAUUGACGUUACCCGCAGAAGAAGCACCGGCUAACUCCGUGCCAGCCGCCGCCGUAA
This 504-nucleotide ribosomal RNA is filed under the name uncultured bacterium. Its description in RNAcentral is "partial 16S ribosomal RNA". It matches the Rfam family "Bacterial small subunit ribosomal RNA", at positions 29 to 523 of the family's 1533-position model. The record is from RNAcentral.